Molecule: ribosomal RNA, 253 nt
Filed under: uncultured bacterium
Lineage: Bacteria
Description: partial 16S ribosomal RNA
Rfam family: Bacterial small subunit ribosomal RNA
Source: RNAcentral
UACGGAGGGGGCUAGCGUUAUUCGGAAUUACUGGGCGUAAAACGCACGUAGGCGGAUUGGAAAGUCAGAGGUGAAAUCCCAGAGCUCAACUUUGGAACUGCCUUUGAAACUCCCAGUCUUGAGGUCGAGAGAGGUGAGUGGAAUUCCGAGUGUAAAGGUGGAAUUCGUAGAUAUUCGGAGGAACACCAGUGGCGAAGGCGGCUCACUGGCUCGAUACUGACGCUGAGGUGCGAAAGCGUGGGGAGCAAACAGG